GAUGAAGAACGUAGCGAAAUGCGAUACUUGGUGUGAAUUGCAGAAUCCCGCGAAUCAUCGAGUUUUUGAACGCAAGUUGCGCCCGAAGCCAUUCGGCCGAGGGCACGUCUGCCUGGGUGUCACGCAUCGUUGCCCCCCCAAACUCCGGUUCGGGCGGGGCGGAAGUUGGCCUCCCGUGCGUGCCUGCGCGCGCGGUUAGCCCAAAAGCGAGUCCUCGGCGACGAGCGCCACGACAAUCGGUGGUCUUUUUACCCUCGUUCCUCGUCGUGCGUGUCCCGUCGCCCGAACGCGCUCUUGUGACCCUCACGCGUCGCCUCGGCGGCGCUCCCAACGCGACCCCAGGUCAGGCGGGACUACCCGCUGAGUUUAAGCAUAUCAAUAGCGGAGGA
Molecule: unclassified non-coding RNA, 389 nt
Filed under: soil metagenome
Description: partial contains 5.8S ribosomal RNA, internal transcribed spacer 2, and large subunit ribosomal RNA
Rfam family: 5.8S ribosomal RNA (bases 1-122)
Source: RNAcentral